Molecule: ribosomal RNA, 253 nt
Filed under: uncultured bacterium
Lineage: Bacteria
Description: partial 16S ribosomal RNA
Rfam family: Bacterial small subunit ribosomal RNA
Source: RNAcentral
UACGUAGGGCGCAAGCGUUGUCCGGAAUUAUUGGGCGUAAAGAGCUCGUAGGCGGCUUGUCACGUCGGGUGUGAAAGCCCGGGGCUUAACCCCGGGUCUGCAUUCGAUACGGGCUAGCUAGAGUGUGGUAGGGGAGAUCGGAAUUCCUGGUGUAGCGGUGAAAUGCGUAGAUAUCGGUAGGAACACCAGUGGCGAAGGCGGUCUCCUGGGGCAUUCUUGACGCUGAGGCGCGAAAGCUGGGGGAGCAAACGGG